This 71-nucleotide transfer RNA is filed under the name Bacteroidota bacterium. RNAcentral describes it as "Bacteroidetes bacterium (activated sludge metagenome) tRNA-Cys". It matches the Rfam family "tRNA". Rfam says of the family: Transfer RNA (tRNA) molecules are approximately 80 nucleotides in length. Their secondary structure includes four short double-helical elements and three loops (D, anti-codon, and T loops). Further hydrogen bonds mediate the characteristic L-shaped molecular structure. tRNAs have two regions of fundamental functional importance: the anti-codon, which is responsible for specific mRNA codon recognition, and the 3' end, to which the tRNAs corresponding amino acid is attached (by aminoacyl-tRNA synthetases). tRNAs cope with the degeneracy of the genetic code in two manners: having more than one tRNA (with a specific anti-codon) for a particular amino acid; and 'wobble' base-pairing, i.e. permitting non-standard base-pairing at the 3rd anti-codon position. The record is from RNAcentral. Lineage: Bacteria; Pseudomonadati; Bacteroidota.
GGUCCUGUGGCCGAGGGGUUAGGCAAGGCUCUGCAAAAGCUUCUACAGCGGUUCAAAUCCGCUCGGGACCU